AAAAGACUUAGUCCUAACCUUACUGUUAGUUGUUGCUAGGUAUAUACAUGCAAGUAUCCGCGCUCCAGUGUAGAAGCCCUCAGUACCUCACUCCCCAGGUCAGCAGGAGCGGGUAUCAGGCUCACCACCUUCAUAAUAGUAGCCCAAAACGCCUUGCACUCGCCACACCCCCACGGGUACUCAGCAGUAAUUAGUAUUAAGCAAUGAGUGAAAACUUGACUUAGCCAUAGCAACUCAGGGUUGGUAAAUCUUGUGCCAGCCACCGCGGUCAUACAAGAAACCCAAAUUAACUUUUAUGAGACGGCGUAAAGGGUGGUCACAUGCUAUCAAAGUAACUAAGAUUAAAAUGCGGCUGGGCUGUCAUAAGCUAAAGCCACCAAUAAAGCCACUACCCCAAAAAAUAUCUUAGACUAACGAUCAAUUGAAACCCACGAAAGCCAGGGCCCAAACUGGGAUUAGAUACCCCACUAUGCCUGGCCGUAAAUCUUGGUGCUUAUCCUACUAGAGCACCCGCCGGAGAACUACGAGCACAAACGCUUGAAACUCUAAGGACUUGGCGGUGCCCCAAACCCACCUAGAGGAGCCUGUUCUAUAAUCGAUGAUCCACGAUAUACCCGACCAUUCCUUGCCCAGACAGCCUAUAUACCGCCGUCGCCAGCCCACCCACCAUGAAGGCCCAACAGUGAGCACAAUAGCCCAACCACGCUAAAAAGACAGGUCGAGGUAUAGCCUAUGGAAUGGAAGCAAUGGGCUACAUUUUCUAUCAUAGAACAUCACGGCAAAGGGACAUGAAAUAACCCCUAGAAGGCGGAUUUAGCAGUAAAGUGGGACAAUAGAGCCCUCUUUAAGCCGGCCCUGGGGCACGUACAUACCGCCCGUCACCCUCCUCAAAGGCGCCCUAACCAAUAACUAAUAAGCCAUCUAGCCAAAGAUGAGGUAAGUCGUAACAAGGUAAGUGUACCGGAAGGUGCACUUAGACUAUC
RNAcentral lists this non-coding RNA (983 nucleotides) under Pardalotus punctatus (spotted pardalote). RNAcentral describes it as "12S ribosomal RNA". It matches the Rfam family "Bacterial small subunit ribosomal RNA". Lineage: Eukaryota; Metazoa; Chordata; Aves; Passeriformes; Pardalotidae. The record is from RNAcentral.